RNAcentral lists this non-coding RNA (236 nucleotides) under Clostridium sp. Its description in RNAcentral is "T-box sequence". It matches the Rfam family "T-box leader". Rfam says of the family: Uncharged tRNA acts as the effector for transcription antitermination of genes in the T-box leader family. T-boxes are found upstream of many aminoacyl-tRNA synthetase genes and some amino acid biosynthetic genes usually in Gram-positive bacteria. The anticodon of a specific tRNA base pairs to a specifier sequence within the T-box motif, and the NCCA acceptor tail of the tRNA base pairs to a conserved bulge in the T-box antiterminator hairpin. Lineage: Bacteria; Bacillati; Bacillota; Clostridia; Eubacteriales; Clostridiaceae. The record is from RNAcentral.
UAAAAGCCAUUGAAAAAGCAAAGUAUGUAAUUACAAAAUAUAUCAAAGAGAGAAAGGCUGUAAGCUGAAAGCCAAUCAUAUAUAAAUUACAGAAAUUUCACUUUGGAGGUUUCUUUUUGAAAUGUAUAUAGCAGAUUAGAAAAGAACGCAGAAGCUACGUUACAGCUAUAAUGAGGUUAAUUCUAGAAUUAAUGAAAUUAGGUGGUACCACGGAUAUAAAACCAUUCGUCCUAUAA